AUGCAAGUCGAACGAUGAUCCCUGGGCUUGCUGGGGGGAUUAGUGGCGAACGGGUGAGUAACACGUGAGUAACCUGCCCUUGACUCUGGGAUAAGCCUGGGAAACUGGGUCUAAUACCGGAUACGACCAUCUGGCGCAUGUCAUGGUGGUGGAAAGCUUUUGUGGUUUUGGAUGGACUCGCGGCCUAUCAGCUUGUUGGUGGGGUAAUGGCCUACCAAGGCGACGACGGGUAGCCGGCCUGAGAGGGUGACCGGCCACACUGGGACUGAGACACGGCCCAGACUCCUACGGGAGGCAGCAGUGGGGAAUAUUGCACAAUGGGCGCAAGCCUGAUGCAGCGACGCCGCGUGAGGGAUGACGGCCUUCGGGUUGUAAACCUCUUUCAGUAGGGAAGAAGCGAAAGUGACGGUACCUGCAGAAGAAGCGCCGGCUAACUACGUGCCAGCAGCCGCGGUAAUACGUAGGGCGCAAGCGUUAUCCGGAAUUAUUGGGCGUAAAGAGCUCGUAGGCGGUUUGUCGCGUCUGCUGUGAAAGACCGGGGCUCAACUCCGGUUCUGCAGUGGGUACGGGCAGACUAGAGUGCAGUAGGGGAGACUGGAAUUCCUGGUGUAGCGGUGAAAUGCGCAGAUAUCAGGAGGAACACCGAUGGCGAAGGCAGGUCUCUGGGCUGUAACUGACGCUGAGGAGCGAAAGCAUGGGGAGCGAACAGGAUUAGAUACCCUGGUAGUCCAUGCCGUAAACGUUGGGCACUAGGUGUGGGGGACAUUCCACGUUUUCCGCGCCGUAGCUAACGCAUUAAGUGCCCCGCCUGGGGAGUACGGCCGCAAGGCUAAAACUCAAAGGAAUUGACGGGGGCCCGCACAAGCGGCGGAGCAUGCGGAUUAAUUCGAUGCAACGCGAAGAACCUUACCAAGGCUUGACAUGAACCGGAAAGACCUGGAAAACAGGUGCCCCGCUUGCGGUCGGUUUACAGG
This 974-nucleotide ribosomal RNA is filed under the name Paenarthrobacter nitroguajacolicus. Its description in RNAcentral is "bacterial SSU rRNA". It matches the Rfam family "Bacterial small subunit ribosomal RNA", at positions 55 to 1038 of the family's 1533-position model. The record is from RNAcentral. Lineage: Bacteria; Bacillati; Actinomycetota; Actinomycetes; Micrococcales; Micrococcaceae.